CAACCGACGUAGAUUGUUGAAUUUACGUCGGUCCCUUUGUUGUCCGACGUAAAUGAAGUUGAAUUUUUGAAUUUAAGUUGCGUAGCGCCUCUCCUUCUUCACCAGAUUUCCUUCCCGCUCUCCCUGCUUCGCAGCCAACACGUAACGCCUCUCCAUUCUUCACCAGAUUUCGUUCAGAUUUUGUUCAGAUUUCGCAGCCAACACGUAACGCCAUUAUUUGGGAGCAUUCAGAUUUCGUUCCCGUUCUUCGCUCAUUUCCUACGUUCGAAGACAGGAGCAGAAAUUUGUACAAGGCCUUCUGGGUUUGGAGACACAGUCCUGGGUUUAUCAAGCAGAACGGGCCGUUCUCCAAGCAGAACGGGCCGUUCUCCAAGCAGAACGGGCCGUUCUGCUGCACUUGUUUUCUUCUUUUUUUUUUUAAAUUUUGUAUGACUUUUUACGUCGGACCUUGGCAUGUGUGACGUAAAUUUACGUCGAUUUUCGCGCCGCGACGUAAAAUUUACGUCUCCAACGUCGGACGUUUCUCUGAUGUAAAAACCCCUAAAUAACCGACGUAAAAUGCUUAUUUUGUACUAGUGCAGUAUAGGAAUAGGGUCACCUUUCAGGGCUCUUCUUUUCAGCCUCAUGAACUAGUCUCUCGAAUUCUUUGCCCAAGUGAAUAUCUUACAGGAUAGUAUACCCCUGUUUAGAUGUCAAACCAUUGCAACACCUAAUAAGAGGGAUCAACAGGUAGUAUGUUGGGUACAUCCACCUGUUGGGAUAUAUAAGCUGAAUUGUGAUGCUUCGGUUAGUCUUGAAGACAAGAGUGCUGCAGCUGGAGGUGUAUGUCGUGACCAUCAUGGGACAAUUAUCUUUUCCUUUGCAGCCAAGAUCAGUUUCUGUCGUGUGUUGAUGGUUGAACUGUGGGCCAUUUACAUUGGUAUAGCUACUGCUUGGAACAGGGGAUUUACAAAAUUGGUGGUGGAAUUAGAUUCCCAGCUAGCUAUUGGUCUUCUUCGAAACGGGUGCUCUUCGUGCCACCCCUGUUUUAGUCUGGUCCAGAGUAUCCUUUCCUUUGUUGCUGCGGGUGGUGACUUUGAGUGGAGGCAUAUUCUUCGUGAAACUAAUCAAGUUUGCUGAUGGGUUAGCUAACUAUGGGAGAAGCCUUACAGAUAAUUUACAUGUCUUUGAAAGUGUUAUGCCUUUUAUUUCUUUAGCUGUUCUUGCUGAUGUAAGUUCUACUAUUUUUCCUCGGGGAUUUUAAUUUAGUUUGUGGGAGCCAUGCCCCUUAUUUUCAAAAAAAAAAAAAAAGGUACUUAGCCAUGCCCUGCUCCGCUCUCUUCUAUAUGUCAUUUUCAUUAUGACAAUGCAUUAACUUAGAGAAAAGAGGAUAAACCUAAAUCACUAGUGUAUUAAUUAACUCAUGAUUUUGCUUUCAAACAAUCAGUUUGCCACGCUUUCUGAACUGAUAGAUCCAUUACGUUCGAAUAGAAGUUGGUGACAUGCUUUUAAGAAUUUCGAUAUGCACAUUCCCUAAUUUCAACCACAU
This is a non-coding RNA of Cajanus cajan (pigeon pea), 1528 nucleotides long. The record is from RefSeq and is a predicted model, not a curated record. Lineage: Eukaryota; Viridiplantae; Streptophyta; Magnoliopsida; Fabales; Fabaceae.